UACGAAGGGGGCUAGCGUUGCUCGGAAUCACUGGGCGUAAAGGGUGCGUAGGCGGGUUUUUAAGUCAGGGGUGAAAUCCUGGAGCUCAACUCCAGAACUGCCUUUGAUACUGAAGAUCUUGAGUUCGGGAGAGGUGAGUGGAACUGCGAGUGUAGAGGUGAAAUUCGUAGAUAUUCGCAAGAACACCAGUGGCGAAGGCGGCUCACUGGCCCGAUACUGACGCUGAGGCACGAAAGCUAGGGGAGCAAACAGG
RNAcentral lists this ribosomal RNA (253 nucleotides) under uncultured bacterium. RNAcentral's name for it is "partial 16S ribosomal RNA". It matches the Rfam family "Bacterial small subunit ribosomal RNA", at positions 524 to 776 of the family's 1533-position model. The record is from RNAcentral.